UCGGGAAUCUUAGACAAUGGGGGAAACCCUGAUCUAGCCAUGCCGCGUGAGUGACGAAGGCCCUAGGGUCGUAAAGCUCUUUCGCCAGGGAAGAUAAUGACGGUACCUGGUAAAGAAGUCCCGGCUAACUCCGUGCCAGCAGCCGCGGUAAUACGGAGGGGGCAAGCGUUGUUCGGAAUUACUGGGCGUAAAGGGCGCGUAGGCGGUCUGUUGCGUCAGGUGUGAAAGCCCCGGGCUCAACCUGGGAGGUGCACUUGAUACGGGCGGACUGGAAUCCGGGAGAGGAUGGUGGAAUUCCCAGUGUAGAGGUGAAAUUCGUAGAUAUUGGGAAGAACACCGAUGGCGAAGGCAGCCAUCUGGCCCGGUAUUGACGCUGAGGCGCGAAAGCGUGGGGAGCAAACAGGAUUAGAUACCCCCGUAGUCC
This 424-nucleotide ribosomal RNA is filed under the name uncultured prokaryote. RNAcentral describes it as "bacterial SSU rRNA". It matches the Rfam family "Bacterial small subunit ribosomal RNA", at positions 355 to 796 of the family's 1533-position model. The record is from RNAcentral.